RNAcentral lists this ribosomal RNA (2898 nucleotides) under Pectobacterium versatile. RNAcentral's name for it is "23S ribosomal RNA". It matches the Rfam family "Bacterial large subunit ribosomal RNA". The record is from RNAcentral. Lineage: Bacteria; Pseudomonadati; Pseudomonadota; Gammaproteobacteria; Enterobacterales; Pectobacteriaceae.
GGUUAAGCGACUAAGCGUACACGGUGGAUGCCUAGGCAGUCAGAGGCGAUGAAGGGCGUGCUAAUCUGCGAUAAGCGUCGGUAAGCUGAUAUGAAGCGUUAUACCCGACGAUACCCGAAUGGGGAAACCCAGUGUGUUUCGACACACUAUCAUUACGUGAAUACAUAGCGUAAUGAGGCGAACCGGGGAACUGAAACAUCUCAGUACCCCGAGGAAAAGAAAUCAACCGAGAUUCCCCUAGUAGCGGCGAGCGAACGGGGAGGAGCCCAGAACCUGAAUCAGUUUGUGUGUUAGUGGAAGCGUCUGGAAAGUCGCACAGUAAAGGGUGAUAGUCCCGUACACAAAAUGCACAGAUUGUGAGUUCGAUGAGUAGGGCGGGACACGUGACAUCCUGUCUGAAUAUGGGGACCAUCCUCCAAGGCUAAAUACUCCUGACUGACCGAUAGUGAACCAGUACCGUGAGGGAAAGGCGAAAAGAACCCCGGCGAGGGAGUGAAAUAGAACCUGAAACCGUGUACGUACAAGCAGUGGGAGCCUUGAUUAAUCAGGGUGACUGCGUACCUUUUUUAUAAUGGGUCAGCGACUUAUAUUCUGUAGCAAGGUUAACCGUAUAGGGGAGCCGCAGGGAAACCGAGUCUUAACUGGGCGUUAAGUUGCAGGGUAUAGACCCGAAACCCGGUGAUCUAGCCAUGGGCAGGUUGAAGGUUGGGUAACACUAACUGGAGGACCGAACCGACUAAUGUUGAAAAAUUAGCGGAUGACUUGUGGCUGGGGUGAAAGGCCAAUCAAACCGGGAGAUAGCUGGUUCUCCCCGAAAGCUAUUUAGGUAGCGCCUCGUGAAUUCAUCUUCGGGGUAGAGCACUGUUUCGGCUAGGGGUCAUCCCGACUUACCAACCCGAUGCAAACUACGAAUACCGAAGAAUGUUAUCACGGGAGACACACGGCGGGUGCUAACGUUCGUCGUGAAGAGGGAAACAACCCAGACCGCCAGCUAAGGUCCCAAAGUCAUGGUUAAGUGGGAAACGAUGUGGGAAGGCACAGACAGCCAGGAUGUUGGCUUAGAAGCAGCCAUCAUUUAAAGAAAGCGUAAUAGCUCACUGGUCGAGUCGGCCUGCGCGGAAGAUGUAACGGGGCUAAACCAUGCACCGAAGCUGCGGCAGCGACACUUAGGUGUUGUUGGGUAGGGGAGCGUUCUGUAAGCCGUCGAAGGUGGCCUGUGAGGGUUGCUGGAGGUAUCAGAAGUGCGAAUGCUGACAUAAGUAACGAUAAUGCGGGUGAAAAACCCGCACGCCGGAAGACCAAGGGUUCCUGUCCAACGUUAAUCGGGGCAGGGUGAGUCGACCCCUAAGGCGAGGCUGAAAAGCGUAGUCGAUGGGAAACAGGUUAAUAUUCCUGUACUCGGUGUUACUGCGAAGGGGGACGGAGAAAGCUAGGUUAUCCGGGCGACGGUUGUCCCGGUUUAAGCGUGAAGGUGGAUGACUUUGGUAAAUCCGGGUCGUCAUUAACACUGAGGCGUGAUGACGAGUCACUACGGUGAUGAAGUAACCAAUGCUACGCUUCCAGGAAAAGCCUCUAAGCUCCAGGUAACAUCAAAUCGUACCCCAAACCGACACAGGUGGUCAGGUAGAGAAUACUCAGGCGCUUGAGAGAACUCGGGUGAAGGAACUAGGCAAAAUGGUGCCGUAACUUCGGGAGAAGGCACGCUGAUGGUAGGUGAAGUGACUUGCUCACGGAGCUGAAAUCAGUCGAAGAUACCAGCUGGCUGCAACUGUUUAAUAAAAACACAGCACUGUGCAAACACGAAAGUGGACGUAUACGGUGUGACGCCUGCCCGGUGCCGGAAGGUUAAUUGAUGGGGUCAGCCGCAAGGCGAAGCUCUUGAUCGAAGCCCCGGUAAACGGCGGCCGUAACUAUAACGGUCCUAAGGUAGCGAAAUUCCUUGUCGGGUAAGUUCCGACCUGCACGAAUGGCGUAAUGAUGGCCAGGCUGUCUCCACCCGAGACUCAGUGAAAUUGAACUCGCUGUGAAGAUGCAGUGUACCCGCGGCAAGACGGAAAGACCCCGUGAACCUUUACUAUAGCUUGACACUGAACCUUGAGCCUUGAUGUGUAGGAUAGGUGGGAGGCUUUGAAGCGUGGACGCCAGUCUGCGUGGAGCCAACCUUGAAAUACCACCCUUUAAUGUUUGAUGUUCUAACGUGGGCCCGUGAUCCGGGUUGCGGACAGUGUCUGGUGGGUAGUUUGACUGGGGCGGUCUCCUCCCAAAGCGUAACGGAGGAGCACGAAGGUUAGCUAAUCCUGGUCGGACAUCAGGAGGUUAGUGCAAAGGCAUAAGCUAGCUUGACUGCGAGAGUGACAGCUCGAGCAGGUGCAAGCAGGUCUUAGUGAUCCGGUGGUUCUGAAUGGAAGGGCCAUCGCUCAACGGAUAAAAGGUACUCCGGGGAUAACAGGCUGAUACCGCCCAAGAGUUCAUAUCGACGGCGGUGUUUGGCACCUCGAUGUCGGCUCAUCACAUCCUGGGGCUGAAGUAGGUCCCAAGGGUAUGGCUGUUCGCCAUUUAAAGUGGUACGCGAGCUGGGUUUAGAACGUCGUGAGACAGUUCGGUCCCUAUCUGCCGUGGGCGUUGGAAGAUUGAGAGGGGUUGCUCCUAGUACGAGAGGACCGGAGUGAACGCACCACUGGUGUUCGGGUUGUGAUGCCAAUUGCAUUGCCCGGUAGCUAAGUGCGGAAGAGAUAACCGCUGAAAGCAUCUAAGCGGGAAACUUGCCUCGAGAUGAGUCUUCCCUGGCACCAGAUGCCCCUGAAGGGCCGUUGAAGACUACGACGUAGAUAGGCUGGGUGUGUAAGCGUAGCGAUACGUUGAGCUAACCAGUACUAAUGACCCGAGAGGCUUAACCUU